This 303-nucleotide ribosomal RNA is filed under the name uncultured bacterium. RNAcentral describes it as "partial 16S ribosomal RNA". It matches the Rfam family "Bacterial small subunit ribosomal RNA", at positions 507 to 807 of the family's 1533-position model. The record is from RNAcentral.
AGCAGUCGCCGCGGGAAUACGAAGGGGGCUAGCGUUGUUCGGAAUUACUGGGCGUAAAGCGCACGCAGGCGGCUCGAUAAAUUAGAAGUGAAAGCCUUGGGCUUAACCUGAGAAUUGCUUUUAAGACUGUCGAGCUAGAAUCCGGAAGAGGGUAGUGGAAUUCCGAGUGUAGAGGUGAAAUUCGUAGAUAUUCGGAAGAACACCAGUGGCGAAGGCGACUACCUGGUCUGGCAUUGACGCUCAUGUGCGAAAGCGUGGGGAGCAAACAGGAUUAGAUACCCCCGUAGUCCCUGUCUCUUAUAC